RNAcentral lists this long non-coding RNA (685 nucleotides) under Sus scrofa (pig). Its description in RNAcentral is "lncRNA (ENSSSCG00070027965.1)". Lineage: Eukaryota; Metazoa; Chordata; Mammalia; Artiodactyla; Suidae. The record is from RNAcentral.
CAAGCCAGCCAUGCUUCACUGAGCUCCCUUCCACUUUUGUGGUCAUGUUUCCUCUUUAUGGUUAAGUGAACCUCAAAACAAUGACAAAGAAAUAUGCACUGAGUCACAUAUUCUAAGAAAUAGACUGUACUCUCCUCAAAUCGAAAUAACAGCACUUUAAUUCUUGGAUUUUUCCACAUUUUUCUUGGUUAAAGCUGCUAUUUGCUUUCUUUGAAUCUGUAUCAGUUCAUGCAGUUCUGCCAAGGGGGGAAGUUUCACAGGACACUGCUACUUUAGCACGUGAAAUAUUAAGAUGAACAGAAUACGUACAAAGGUGGGGAACCUGGGAAGAUUGAAUGUCCUCUGGAGUCCACGGGGGUUUCCAGGGGGAGAAGCAAAACAAAACGGAGCAUAGCGGCACAGUGGGACAGACUUUCCCAAGAUCCCCAGCUGGAUACCCCAAGAGAUCCAGCAGAAGAAAAACCAAAGCUGUAUAUGAGAUAAUUCUACAACACAGGGCAUCCAGUUUACCUAUGGAGAAAAUGAAGCUAAGGGUGAACUCAUGAUUUAAAGAUACAAACCUGGUAAGAAAAUAUGCCAGCAUCAAGAGACCAGCAGACACAACAAAUAGGAGCAUUGCUAUUCCCAAAUGCCUAAAUUAAUAUUCUAAAAUAAAUAUUCUGAAAGUGAGAAUAAAGUAAUAACG